This 497-nucleotide ribosomal RNA is filed under the name uncultured bacterium. Its description in RNAcentral is "partial 16S ribosomal RNA". It matches the Rfam family "Bacterial small subunit ribosomal RNA", at positions 28 to 507 of the family's 1533-position model. The record is from RNAcentral.
GAUGAACGCUGGCGGCGUGCCUAAUACAUGCAAGUCGAGCGAACGGACGAGCCGCUUGCUUCUUUGUAGUAAGCGGCGGCAGGGUGAGUAACACGUGGAUAACCUACCUAUAAGAAUGGGACAACUUCGGGAAACCGGAGCUAAAACCGGAUAAUAUUUUGAACCGCAUGGUCAAAAAGUGAAAGACGGUCUUGCUGUCCCUUACAGACGGACCACCGCUGCAUUAGCUAGUCGGUAAGGUAACGGCAUACCAUGGCAACGAUGCAUAGCCGACCUGAGAUGGUAAUCGGCCACACUGGAACUGGGACACGGUCCAGACCCCUGCGGGAGGCAGCGGUAGGGAAUUGUCCGCAAUGGGCUAAGACCUUACGGAGCAACGCCGCGUGCAUGAGUAAGGUCUUCGGAUCGUAAAACUCUGUUAGUAGGGAAGAACAUAGGUGUAAGUGACUGUGCACAUCUUGACGGUACCUUAGCAGAAGGCCACGGCUAACUUCUUG